Molecule: long non-coding RNA, 8020 nt
Filed under: Fragaria vesca (wild strawberry)
Lineage: Eukaryota; Viridiplantae; Streptophyta; Magnoliopsida; Rosales; Rosaceae
Description: long non-coding RNA (FVES_LNC002124)
Source: RNAcentral
ACUUCAAAUCAAAUCAUAUCAUCAAACGCAUGAGUUGAGUUUUCUUCUUUGCUCUGCUCUGCUCUGUCAUAUCAUUCCAUAUAUGCUCUCGGUAUGUGCCGAAAUUCUAAAAUUCGGGGACGGUGCCGACUAUUGAAAACCCUUGUUAGGUUUUGGCAUUUGCAUUACUACUUUUUGGUGGAAAGGUUGAAAUGUUUAUGUUUUAGGUAUUAUCUUAGCCAUGAAGUUGCGACACAAAUUGGAAACCAACUUGGUUUGGAUCAACUCUAUCAAAAUUGAGCUCUUCUUGUAGCACAGAAGAAGAAGGAAGAAGAAUGGAAACAUGCAAGUUAAUUAUUGGCAAGUUCUUUUCUUAGCUUCCUAGAAUUAUAUUGUAGACAUUAUUGUUCUUUUCUUCAUUAGAUAGACAUGGUUCGGAUUCAAGGAGAAGUCCCUCGAGUUUGUUUGAGUUGCAAAAGUGGUCAUCUUCGUGCUCGUGUGGGUUAUAUAAGAUUAGAAUGAUGUUUCUUUACGUUUUUCAUUUUGUUGCUGACAACGUACAUAAGUAGAUAGGAUUUUGUUGAGUGAAGAGCAGGAAGACCGUAGAGGGUGGCAAGGCUAGGGUAGCUACUCAUAUAAAUUUCCUUCUAGGGUGGCUUAAUUAGUCUGAUCUAUCGAGGACAAUGAAUACAAAACCAGUAAAAUACAAAAUUGAUGACGUUUAAAUCAUCUAAUUAACCUAGCUAGCUAUCAUCUAAUUUUCGUUCGUUAUUCAGCAUAAAUUUAUAGAUCGAGGAAGAUAAAUUGAACAGAGAUAAUUUUGUGGCUAAAAUUUUAGUUAAUCUUGGACAUAGGCCGAGUAACUUACGUGGCCGUAAGGAUUGAUGAGUGUGUUUCCCCGGAAACGUCGUUUUCAGCUCUUGUCUUUAACAUUGUAAAUCUUGAUUGCAUUAGAGGUACCUCCAUAUAAUAUAUUAUUUUCUUUUAUUAAUAAAAAAAAUAUAGUAGUUGAUCGACCAUAGUAGAUAGUAAGCAUAUGACGGAUGAUCGAGUUAUAUAUAGCAGAGUUUCCAUGAAUCGGAAACAUAUUUGUAUGGGAUUGCGAUUUCUAGGCUAAUUAGCAUAGUUGCAACGUGAAAUCGUUUAUGUAUAUGGCCGGUGGAUAUAUUCUUUUUUGAGGAAAAUGACAGACAAACUAGCUAGCUGUAUCUUGUAUUUCUUCGAUAUUUUUUUUUUUUUUUUUUGGUUGAGGUAUUGGAAGUUCGUUGUUGAGCCUUCCAAGAACGAAAGAGAAUUGGAUGAUAAAUAACAGAGAAUGAAACAGGCUAAGCUGGGCGGGUACGUAUGAUGAUGGACUAGCUUGGUCCAUGGAUCGCGUCGAGAUUUCUUUGUCUCAAAGUACGUUAUGCUCUGAGAAUAUAUUUCGAGUCGUUACGAUCAGCAGAUCGACCUCAUCCCGGCCUCGAAAAUCAGAAUAUCAAACAAAAGUAAUAUAUAUGUAUAUUGGUCCAGAUAGAAGAGCCAGAGUAAGAGGUAAUAAUCGAUCGAGUAUAUAUGACAUACAAGGAUUACCACUGCAAAACGAAACGUGCAUUAACAUGCCUGUGCUGUUGAACAUGCAGGUGUUUGCUGUGUUGCUAAUGCCAAUAGGUUCUUAAUUGGGUUGAGUAUCCUGGAUAUGAAAUUACAUUAACUAGAUUAUUGGUUUUAAUAUACGUAAGAAACUAACUAAGAAGUGUAGAAAUUGAAAACACAGGGCUAAUUAGUAAUUACAUUGUAAAUGCGUAUAUUAGCAAUAUUAGCAGCAGCAGUAAUCUAGCUUAGGAUCAUAAGGUGGGACGAGGGGUAGAGCCAGGUAAAUUAUAUAUGAAGAUGAAUUCGGAGGACUCGAAGAGUGGACCGUGCAUGCCCUACUGUGCCCUGCACUGACGUUCCUUUUGAAUUGAAUUGAAUUGAAUUGAAUAAGAUGUUGUUUUGUCUGUGUGUGAAUUUAGCGACAGUAGUAUUGUAGUGUAUUGGUAUUGGCAGAACUAGAACAAUGAUGGAAGUGUCAGGUAGAGAGAGAGAGAGAAACAGAAGAAAGGAAUGAUGGAAAUUCCUGCACAAAUGGAAUGAUGCAUUACCCUAUUCUCUCUCUCACUCUACUCGAUCGAUCUAUGGAUCCAAAUAAACCAAUUCUCUUCUUUCUUUUACUGUUUAUUUUUAGUUGAUCUCUUUUCUUUUUAUUUGGUCGGGAUUUUUUUCCCCUCUGACCACUCUGAGGCUCUGAGCUGAAAUUCGUGCAUAUUAUAACAGUAAUGUAAGUAAUUUUUGCAUUUUUCUUUUCCUGCAGCACAGUAAAGUAAGAGAGCAAACAGUGAAAACCAUAAUCACAUAGCUGGCCUGGAGCAGCACGACUGGGUUUGGCCUGGUAAAAGUAAAAGAGAUAGAGAUGCAGAUGAAGAUAAAGACAAAAAGUAGAGUCAGAAGGAUUGAAAAUGUAAGGGGGAGACGGCUUCGAGGACGCCGGUAUAUUUGGCGUGUGCAGGUGAACGUAAAUGUUCCUCGGCAAUCGCGUUUCUACCUGUACUUGUACAGUUAUACGUAUCUCUAUCAUAUCUCUCUCCGUAUCUGUAUCUCUCUGCAUGGAGAUACGAGGAGAGCAUAUAUAUCAGUAGUAAUUAUAUUUAAACCAAAAGAUUUUACCAAAAAAGAGUGAACGGAUGGGAAUGGGAUCACGAAGAUCCUCUUUGAUGAUAUCCAAAAUGAAUGAACGAAUCGAGUCUUCCUUCCUUCUUGUCAAUCUUUUCUUCUUCUCAUCUUCUGGGUAUUUUUGACUACGCUACUAUCCUUCCUUCUUCGUGACUACUCUAUGUGAGUAAUCAGAAUCAGAUAAUUAAACUAUGGCCGUUGCUUGGUUAAUCAAAAAAUUAAUUUGUAAUGGAUCGAUGCAGCAGGCAGCGAGGUAGCUAGACUGAGAGAGACAUUAAGCUAGUGAUUAAUUAACUAGCUAGAGGGAGGGGAAGGUUGAGAGAAUUAAUGUAAUUUUGUGGCGGGGCUGCUGCAGUGUUUAGGGUUUUACACUGGUAAGUGAUCUCGUUGAAGCUAUGUCGCUGCUAGCUGCAUGAUAAGUCUCAUCAGUCGCCGGGCUAUGGCUAGAAAAUGAUGACGUACGUAGACUUGGAAACAAGACUGAUCGAGAGUAGUAGCAAAUAGCUUCCAUAGGUGAUGUGAUAUAUGAUUUGAUAUACGAUAUGAUGGGUGGGUGCAAGAACUGAUUUUGCACAUUCAUUCUGUGUUCCCCAAACCCCACCCAAUGCCCCCUUAAUCAACUCGAUCAUCCUAUACACUUGGGUUCAUGGUGUUCAUAUUCUAUUCCUCCCUGGCCCUAGAGCUAGGCCAGCUAUGGAUUCUAUAUUCCAUAUUUCCAUGGCAUGCAUCAUCAAUUUCCUUCUCAACGGAACAUUGAUCAAACUGCUAUGUAUUUAUUGUCAACGCACAAACGCACCAUCAGUAGUCUAUCACUAAAGAGGCAGCAGCAACCAUCGGAUUCCAUCCCCUCCAACUCGGUUCUCCCUCCAUCAGAAAGACAGAAAGUCAGAAAUUAAUAGUCAUCAAGAUUCAAGACUACUUCUGCUCCGGCCAGUACGUGCUCCUGCAAGUGAAUUUUUCCCCCAGUGUCUGAUGAUUAACUGCAAUUAAAGGAUACCAAACUAUGGUGAUUAAAUCUUUGUUGGAUAUAUCCGGUACAGCAAUACUUACGGUCUAUAACAAUAGAGCAAAUACUAAAAGUAUUUUCAACGGUUUCUCUAAAAAAAAAAAAAAUUUAAAUAAGGAAGCAAAAACUAAAGUCUCUAAAAAAAUUUAUGUUCUAAAAGCAGGUUCCCUAAAUUGUUUGAUUUUCUCUAUUUUAGAAAAUAUGAGAUCAUUUUUCACUCCAACAGCUUCCCUAUCUCAUUCUCUAAAAUAGGAAAAGAGAUGAAAGAGAAGCUUUACUUCCCUAUAUUUACAGAUUCUCUAAAAAUAUUUAGGGAAAGAAUAAUUGAAUGUUGCACAUUCUUCAAGACUCAAAGAUAAGAAAGAAAACAUAAUUUAUUCUAAAAAAAUUAACUUUUAUAUUUUUAUACUUAUUAUUAUAUUGUAAAUAAAUAUUGUUGUUGUAAUAAAUAUUUAAAUCUUUAAAAUAGGGAAAUUGUUGGAUUUAGUAUACAAAAUUUUUAGAGAUUUUGAGUUUUACUUCCCUAUUAUGUAAGAAGCUCUUGGACUUGCUCUAACUCCAACAGUAUUUUGGAGAUUUCGGUAUUUAUUACAACAAUAAAAAAUGCUACAUAAUUAUCAAUAAUAACAAAAAAAAUCAUAUAUUUCAUUGUAACAUAAAUUACCCAAUAAAAUAUUCUAGAUUUUUUGUUCUUAUCGUUAGAGCACGUGAAUAAUUAAUAUUUGGGGAAUGAAGACUUUGUUGCAGAUUUGGGGAAUAAAUGUUUAUCUUUCUUCUCCAUCCCCAUUUUAAAGAAUGAGAUGAGGAAGCUGUUGGACCACAAAACAACGAAAUAUUCCCCAAAAUUGAUAAAAUAAAAAAAAUAGAGAAACUGUUGGAGAUGCUUUAAGUGAAUCAUAUUUUGAGCAUGCAACCACAUAUAGUUCACCUUACAUGUCAACUUAUGCGACAUAUACAUCAUCAUUUCUUUUUCGUAUCAUUUCAACAUCAGGUAUGAACACUACGUUGAGAAUAUCCAAAAUGAAAUAGAAGUGUUGGAAAAGCGUUCAACGUACACCAAUAAACAACAUGCAUGAUAGAAAUCGAAAAUACUUGGACGAAACUUUAUGUAUAAAUCUCUUUUUGACAUGUUAAGGAGCAAAGUCUUUCAUAAUUAAUUCAAUCUUGCCGUGAGCACCAAAAGAGUGAAGAAUGAUUAAACAAAAUAAUUCAAUCUUGACUUCUCAUUCUAAAGGCAUCAAUUAGUAGGUAGAAAGCUUGAAUGAUAUGGUUUCUUUAUCGAUCUUACGAGCUUUUCAGGUUAUAAUUAUUCUAUACCUAGCUUUGGGCAUUUCGUGUUCACAACCUCGCAUAAUAAAUCGAAAGUUAACUCAUAUCAGGUAGAAUGUUUUACUCAAAAGUUGGAAGUUUGCAGAAGAAUUAUACGUACGUACUUCUUUUGUUCUGUAGUCGUUUCUGGAUCGAAAAUGGCAAUAAGAACUUGCCACCCUUUGUCAUAUACGGCCAUCACGCAUACCAGAAUUGAUCGACGUUUGUUUAUCUACAGACAUGCAUACAAUUAAUACUAAAUUAAUCGAACGGAAAACCAUGAUUAUAUAUCGGAUCUGGCUCUAUUAGUAGAUUCCAUGAAUGAUCGAAUUGUUUUUCAUUUUAGAGUAUUAAUGAACUAGUAGCUAGCGUGUGAGGUUAAUAUUACAUUUACAUACAUAUACGUGGAUCAAAUAAUAUGAUGAACGCACACUAAUCAUGCAGAUUUCUAGCUCUCACUUGAUCAAUUAUUAUAGUUAAUCAUAUAUAAUACUGUGUAUCCAUGCCAUAUAUCAUUCCUGCAGGUGAUAUGUGAUCAUCUUUUUAGAACAUAGGAUUCGCAUGGAUUGACUUGUUUUAAUCUUGGAGAAUGAACUCAAUUGUGUUAGUUGGAUUGACUAUUAUAAUCCAUAGUAUCAUUCAUGUCAAGUGUGAAAGAAUCGGAACUCGAUCCAUGCAUGGCCUGGAGAGAGUUAGCAGUUCCUUUUAGAAAAACACCAGUACAGUUCUACUGGUGAUGAUCAGGUCAAUGAAUUAGGUUUUAGGUUUGACGAUUUCCUACCAAAAGAAGCAAAAGACUACCUUUUUUAAUCUAAACUCAAGGCAUUACUUACUUCCCCUCCACAAUCAUAGUCAUAUCAUAUCAUAUCAUAUAAAAUGUGGUGCCAUUUUCUUCUCCUGUUUCCGUUCUCUCCUUUUGGAAAGAAGUUAGGGACUGAAUCCCCGCAGCAAGAACAUGCAUGAUGAUCUUAAAUUCUCUAUGCAAAGUUUGACAAUGUACCGCUUGCAAAUCCAUGUCUGUAUUUUUUGUCCGGCCGCAAGAAAAAGAUGGCCACCUAGCUAGCUCACAUAUUAUAUAAACACCCACAACAUCCAUCUGAUUCCUAAGUCGUAGCUAGUUAGCUCGCUAUCUAGACGAGAAACCAACAAUUUAAUUUUAUAAAAUCUCUAUAUAUCAAACCUCCAUCGAAAAAGACAUUAGGUUAAUCAAGGCAACGCAGCUUGUUUUUCUAUUAUAUAUACGUAGAAAGUUGUAGCUGGGUAUAUAUUUGAUUAAUUCCAUUAUCAUUGUUCAUUUCUGGAGCCUGGACUGAUCUGCUGGGAACGAAUGAGGAGGAGGAGGAAUGAUUGGAGAGGAUGGAGGGGACGUUCGGUUCCCCACCAUAUUGACUUUUGGUAGCUCAAGACAUCAAAUUAGGUGAAAAAACUUUUAACUUUUGCAUCAGUCAAAUUCCAGUUCAUCGUCAAAUUCUUUCGUAUCUAGCCUUUUGGCGAUACCUGCUGCCUCAUCUGUCUCUACAUGCAUCUACUCUGAAUCUCCUGAUUACAAUAAUCAGAUCAAUCGGUAUACUAGCUAGCUAGAAACAAUGCAAGUUUGAUCCAGCAAAAGAAACACUGAUCAGGAUGGACCUUCCAGAUGGUUUGGUUUCUUUGGAAAUAAAUUCAUCUAGAAGCUUGUUGUUAAUUUAGUGUAUUUAAGAUGAACCCUUAGAUAGAUAAAAAUAUACAGUUGGAUAUAUAGUUCACCCCAACAGCUAGCUAGAACAAUAAAUAAUUUUACUAAUGUUUUUGAAAUGCAGGUUGAUGAAAGCCUUAUAUGCACGAAAGUAGGUAUAUAUGGACGGACCUUCAUUUCCCUAGGGUUGACAUGGUUUCCGCAGCAAGCUACUCCAUUUGUUAUUCUUAGACAGUACUCCCACAUUUUCUAUGUUAAUCAAAGCCAAGCUUUACUACACUUUAACGCAGACAGAAAAUGAAUUUCGGAAAUGAACUCGUGGCCCUCUUCUUUCUACAUCAUUGUUGUGGAUAAAUGAUAACGUUGCCGAUCUUAAUUGUACCCCUCAAGUUUAUAUAUACAAGAACGAACGAGAUUAUAGAUCCUCGUAAUUUCCAAGUUGGAACCGACCAAGAUCUUUGUCUGUGACUCUAUGAACCCAGCUAGCUUAAUACGCAGGUCAAAAUAAGCAGCCAGCUUAAAAUGCAUAACGUAUAUAACUUGUAUGCCAUGCGACCUGCGUUAGUACAUAUAUACAUUCUAAUACCCACUUUUUUCUUGCAUUUGUUUGGCUGGACAUGACUUUGUGAUCCAUCUUGAUUACAAGCAAUUAUCACAUGGUCAAAUGACUCGAAUCUAGGGAAUAUGUGACGAUUAAAUACGUAGGCUACCCCAAACCACCAAGUCCUCGAUCGAAAUGGAAUUAGCCAAUUAGGUAGUCGAAAACUUGAAUUGAAUGACACAAAGUUUGAAAUUAGCUUAGCUAAAUUGUGUUCUUGCUGUUUCUUUCCAGGGCCCAAUCCCCUAAGGUGGCCAUGUGCUCGAUCAUGCACGUAAUAAACUGCCAUGCAAGGGACCACCGGACGAGACUUGCUAGGGUUGUCCGGGAGAAAUUAUGAAGAUGAGUGGGAGAUGGCCUUAAGCCCAAUUGCACCCUCAGAAGAAGCCCAAUUCAUCCACUAUGUUCCAUGACACAAUCACUGUAGGGUGUAAGCCCAAUUAUAUCAUCAGACCAGAAAAAGGCGCCCAAUUAUACCCUCUGACUAGAAAAGGCCCAAUUACACAGUAGACGUGCAUUUUCCAGUAAAUAUGAUUCUAGAGUGUACCAUAGCAAAACGAAAUCAUCAAUUACUCCUUCCAGAAUAUCAAUACAAAAUCCAGCAAAUGAGGAAUUUAAUUUAUUCAAUAUGUUGAAACUGGUUGCACAACUGGGAAAAGAAAAGGACAGUCUAUAACAAUUCUCUCAGUACAGUUCCAGGAAAUUCAUUAUCAUUAGCGGUGAAAAGCAUCAAAUUAUCCACACCUCACGAAUUUAAGCUUCC